GGCCCGUUGGUCUAGUGGUCUAGGACGCCGGCCUCUCACGCCGGAGAUCAGGGGUUCGAAGCCCCUACGGGCUA
Molecule: transfer RNA, 74 nt
Filed under: marine sediment metagenome
Rfam family: tRNA
About the family: Transfer RNA (tRNA) molecules are approximately 80 nucleotides in length. Their secondary structure includes four short double-helical elements and three loops (D, anti-codon, and T loops).
Source: RNAcentral